Molecule: unclassified non-coding RNA, 406 nt
Filed under: Hevea brasiliensis (rubber tree)
Lineage: Eukaryota; Viridiplantae; Streptophyta; Magnoliopsida; Malpighiales; Euphorbiaceae
Source: RNAcentral
AAGAGGCUUUCACUAACUGAUAUCAAGAUUGACAUAAAAAGAGUUCCUAAGAAGAAAACUCUAAUUGAAGCCAUGGAGAAAGCUGACGUGAGGAACAAGUGGGAGAACAGUUCCUGGGGCAGGAAGCUCAUUGUGCAGAAGAGAAGGGCCUCACUUAAUGAUUUUGAUAGGUUCAAGCUCAUGUUGGCAAAGAUUAAGAGAGGAGGAAUCAUCAGGCAGGAGCUUGCAAAGCUUAGAAAGGAGGCAGCUUAAAAUUUGCAUACUUGUCAGUUUCUCAAUUUUUUCUUGAAUGUAAAACACUUGAGAAUUUAGAUUUUUGGUUUUUCAUUUCAUUAAUGUGCUAGCUAGUUAUGGAAACCAAUAAUGACUGACCUUGCUGAAAUGCAUUAAUGACAGUUGUGGAGCG